CAGCGCUCAAAAUUUCCUAACACCUAAUUCUCUUUCUGCACUUCAUGUUUUAACUGUCAUGAUCUAACGGAAAAGGAGUCCCCACAUGGAUAUUUGGGCUGGACUGAGUCUCUCUAACAUCCUCGGAGAGGCCAGAAGUCUUUUUCCAGCUCAUAUGCUGAGGCUCUGAUCUGACAUGGAGAGAUGUUCCAGGAGUUGCUCUGCAGAGAUUAACUUCAUCUGAAGGCAGCUGAAAAUGCAAGAAAAUAAGCUAGAAAAUAGGUCUCUAGCAGUCUGCCUGAGUCACACAGAAUCACAUGCAAAGCUGAGCAGAGCCUCACAAUGCAAGCAAGAGGUCCUCAAGUGGAGCAGAAGAGGAAUUCCACCCCAAACAAACCCCCUCACAGUGAUUUGUCAAAGAUUAGAAGCCCUCGAGCUGUGUAGAGCUUGAAGGAGUGGGCUUUGGCUGGCUCUCAGUAUUGAAUUUAGAAGGAAGGAAGAAAACGAUGCCUGAUAAAUGCAUUAACAUCUGAAGGAACUAGGAAAUCUGGGUACAGUGUGUGUGGUCAAGAAGAGGCAGCAUGAAGCUGUUGUAUUCUGCAUGGGUAGUCAGGAUACCAUAUGAACAUUUUAAAAUUAUUAAGUGAG
RNAcentral lists this long non-coding RNA (627 nucleotides) under Cyanistes caeruleus (blue tit). Its description in RNAcentral is "lncRNA (ENSCCEG00000008696.1)". The record is from RNAcentral. Lineage: Eukaryota; Metazoa; Chordata; Aves; Passeriformes; Paridae.